AUUGAAAAUUCAGCUUUUGCCUAGCCCUGAGUCCUGAAGAGUUUCUCCUAUAUAGUUUUCUAGUAAUUUUUGUCUAAAGUUUUUGUCUAAAAAAUCAGCUGACAAUCCCUAACAAUCAGUUGUUUGCCAGGUGAUUAGCUGCCUCUCUACCUUCCUCAUGGUCCAGUAAACUGCAGGAACGUAUGGAAUCAUUCACACUUAGCUUGUGCUGGGCCAGGCCGCGCAUGUCACCUUGGGUUUCGCUGGCCGCUGACAAGACCUCAAGCUGCCAAGAGCUGCCGCACUAUCCUUCCCCGGCUCCCAUUUUAAUGGAAGGGGUCGCUGGCAGGGCCAGGAGUUUAAGAGCAUGCCCCUUAUUCAGCUUUAUCUCAGCAAGUAUUCAUAGUUUUAGAGUUGCAAGGGACCUUCUCAAAGGGAACAGGCUAAAACCAAGGAAUGUUCAAUGAUUUUUUUCCAAUUUAUAGAAUCUUCAGCUUCUGACUCCCAGGCUGAGCUCUUUUCAUUGUCCCCACAAAGCACCAGCCAGUGGACUACUGGUCACUCCUCCUGGCCUGCCGCAGCCUCUGUCCCAUAACAGGGAGCAAACAGCUGUGGUGGCUCAGAGAAUCCGCCAGGUUGUAGCAAUUUAAUCCAGUGCUCUCAUGAGGAUCUGCUGCGAGCAUCUCAUGCAGGGGCUCCGAGCUGCCAGCUUUCCCUCCGAGCUGCCUUCAGCGUCCUGUCCUCGCCCUCACAGCCUAGGAGUUGUAGGUCCUUCUGGUUGUGCUAUGUGGGACCCUGCCUCAGCAUGGUUUGAUGAGCGGUGCCAUGUCCACACCCAGGAUCCGAACUAGUGAAACCCUGGACCGCUGAAAUGGAGUGUGCAAACUUAACCACUCCACCAUGGGGCCAGCCCCACAACUAAUUGUUUAGUAUAAUCUUUACUCUGAAACUUUUCUUAGGUAGUAAUAUAUAUGUGUAUACUUGUAAAUGCCAAUUUGCUCUUCUGUGAGGCAACUGAAUGAGUAAAGGACAAAUGAAAGAAUAAAAUCACUGAAACCAAGAAAUUUGGCCUUUAGACAAUUAGCUACUCUUAAUCUCCCAAAAAGUUUCAUGAGAAAGUAAACCAAGAAAAUACCACUUGCACCUGCCCAGGAGCUAUUUUCGGUAGGGGCUUUUUUGGGAUUGUAGUCCAUCCAAAGAAGGUUACUUGAAUUUAAUGUUUUAAAUCAUUUCUCAACUUCUUCAUAUUGUCCACAGAGACACAGUGUUCGGUGAAGAACCUCAAAGUGAAUCAUUUUAAAAUAAAUUCCCUCUUGACUUUUACAUGGCCAGAAAUUUUCCUCUUGGUGCAGUUGCACCUUCAUUUUUCGAAAAAUUGAAGCGUAAUAUUUAGGACAAAUUUAGGGUCCUUAUAAACAUUUGAAAUUAC
Molecule: long non-coding RNA, 1408 nt
Filed under: Equus asinus (donkey)
Lineage: Eukaryota; Metazoa; Chordata; Mammalia; Perissodactyla; Equidae
Description: lncRNA (ENSEASG00005034641.1)
Source: RNAcentral